This 253-nucleotide ribosomal RNA is filed under the name uncultured bacterium. Its description in RNAcentral is "partial 16S ribosomal RNA". It matches the Rfam family "Bacterial small subunit ribosomal RNA", at positions 524 to 776 of the family's 1533-position model. The record is from RNAcentral.
UACGUAGGGACCGAGCGUUGUCCGGAUUCAUUGGGCGUAAAGAGCUCGUAGGCGGCUGCUCAAGUCGAAUGUGAAAACUCGAGGCUCAACCUCGAGCCUGCAUUCGAUACUGGGCGGCUAGAGUCUGGUAGGGGGAUCUGGAAUUCCUGGUGUAGCGGUGGAAUGCGCAGAUAUCAGGAGGAACACCGGUGGCGAAGGCGGGAUCCUGGGCCAGUACUGACGCUGAGGUGCGAAAGCGUGGGGAUCAAACAGG